Molecule: ribosomal RNA, 508 nt
Filed under: uncultured bacterium
Lineage: Bacteria
Description: partial 16S ribosomal RNA
Rfam family: Bacterial small subunit ribosomal RNA
Source: RNAcentral
GAUGAACGCUAGCUACAGGCUUAACACAUGCAAGUCGAGGGGAAACGAUAUUGGAAGCUUGCUUCCGAUAGGCGUCGACCGGCGCACGGGUGAGUAACGCGUAUCCAACCUGCCCAUCACUUGGGGAUAACCUUGCGAAAGUAAGACUAAUACCCAAUGACGUCUCUAGAAGACAUCUGAAAGAGAUUAAAGAUUUAUCGGUGAUGGAUGGGGAUGCGUCUGAUUAGCUUGUUGGCGGGGUAACGGCCCACCAAGGCGACGAUCAGUAGGGGUUCUGAGAGGAAGGUCCCCCACAUUGGGACUGAGACACGGUCCAAAGUCGUACGGGAGGCAGCAGUGAGGAAUAUUAGUCAAUGGGCGAGAGCCUGAAACAGCCAAGUAGCGUGCAGGAAGACGGCCCUAUGGGUUGUAAACUGCUUUUAUAAGGGAAUAAAGUGGGAGUCGUGACUCCUUUUGCAUGUACCUUAUGAAUAAGGACCGGCUAAUUCCGUGCCAGCCGCCGCCGUAA